This 425-nucleotide ribosomal RNA is filed under the name alpha proteobacterium ML1. RNAcentral describes it as "bacterial SSU rRNA". It matches the Rfam family "Bacterial small subunit ribosomal RNA", at positions 18 to 489 of the family's 1533-position model. The record is from RNAcentral. Lineage: Bacteria; Pseudomonadati; Pseudomonadota; Alphaproteobacteria.
CCUGGCUCAGAACGAACGCUGGCGGCAUGCCUAACACAUGCAAGUCGAACGAACCCUUCGGGGUUAGUGGCGCACGGGUGCGUAACGCGUGGGAACCUGCCUUUAGGUUUGGAAUAACAGUGAGAAAUUACUGCUAAUACCAAAUAAUGUCUUCGGACCAAAGAUUUAUCGCCUUUAGAUGGGCCCGCGUUGGAUUAGCUUGUUGGUGGGGUAAUGGCCUACCAAGGCGACGAUCCAUAGCUGGUCUGAGAGGAUGAUCAGCCACACUGGGACUGAGACACGGCCCAGACUCCUACGGGAGGCAGCAGUGGGGAAUAUUGGACAAUGGGCGAAAGCCUGAUCCAGCAAUGCCGCGUGAGUGAUGAAGGCCUUAGGGUUGUAAAGCUCUUUUACCAGGGAUGAUAAUGACAGUACCUGGAGAAUAA